GUUCAGGAUGAAUUGUUUUAAAGAGUCCCUAAAGCUAUACUCACCCUUGUGGAGCCCCCUGUUCCCCUUGGGCAUGGAUGGGAAAUUCAGGGGUAUCAGGUGCAUUUCCUCAUUUUCUGGUUAUUCUAAGACCUCUGGGCCCUAACUGCCCCUGGAGCACUGUUCCAAACCUGGAGGCGGCUAAAUGAAUGAUCAUUUAAUAGAAUAAAAAAAAAAAAAAAAACCCUAUCAGGGUAUAUUAACUCACUUUAUAGUCCUUGUGGUGGGAGAGGGAGAGACUAUGGUGAUUUCCUAAAUGCCAGCUAGUUAAGUCCCUCUACCUCCUCCCUCUGGAGUUAAGAAAGCCUCCCUGCAUCCAUGUAUUUCUCCUCUAUCAUAGUUUGCUACAUUUUUUGCUGCUGCUCAUGGCUGGCGGCACCACACUUGACCUUAGGAACGCCAAGUGGAAGAGCCUGACGAUGAGACUGAGACUAGGUCGCCAAUUUGAACUGAACUUGGUUUUUCCUCCUCCAACCAGAAUGGCAUGACUCAGGUAUAAAAUCUCCUCUCCUCUCAGAGACUCUGGCGGUCUGGAAACUAUAAAAAGAAAAAACAAAAUCAGUAAAUUCAAGAGAGAAAAUGAAAAGAGCAAGAAAACUGUAGGAAGAGAGGGAAAGAAAAAGGAAAAUACUUGUACACAAAAUUGGAAGGGUGUUUGGAACCCCGCCUCAAUUUCUAACAACUGAAGCUAAGGCUUGUUGGUCUCCACUGGGUUCCUCCACUGGUCUCUCCAACCCAAUUCCCUUGUUCAGGAUCUGUGGGGUUCUUUGCCUGGGAAAGGCACAUUCACGUGGUCUGGUCUAUGGCAGGGCUUUACCUACUGGCGGUGGGUAGGGAAAGGUGGUGGUGGCAGCAGAGAGGGAGGUGAGAAAAGCCCUGGGAGGUGUGGCCGCCUCAGGUGGAGGCCCCUCCCCCACCCAUACGGAGGGGCCCAGCAUCCACCACUCCAGGGGAGCCUCUGGGCUCCAGGCCAUCCUGGGUGACUUAAGCCAGAGUGAUCUUAUUACAGCCAGUAGUGACCAGAAUGAUUUCUUAUGCCAAGAGCAGAAAGAAAUGGGUCCAAAUGAGAAAACCGGGACAGCUUGGGUUCUGCGAGAUGGCUGCGAACUGGGGAUUGCACCGAUGAUAAAGCCCAUAGCUGCUUCUUUGGCAUCCACUCCAUGUCAGGCAAAGUCAAGCACACAGCGGUAGGUUUAAGGUAAGUCUCUCCUUUGCUGAUGAUGACCAACCCUGCCCCCAGAAUCCAUCAGGAGUUUGGACGCAUCCACAGCUCCCAGAGAAGAUCCCGCUUGACCUCCCUGUCAGAGGCAAGUGCUUAGUGCAUUUCUGAGACCAGGUGAAAACUGAGGAGGCCACGGAUCAGUGAGACCUGGACUGCUCCUGUCCAACCUGAGCAGCUGCCAUCUGUCAGGACCCCUUCGAGGGCAUGCAGUCAGCCAGCACCGCCAUUCAACGCGGACCCAGAAAAAUCUCUCAAACUCACAGACUUGGAGAGAGAGGAAGGUAGCCAGGCAACAGAAUUGCGGAAAACAUCCUCUAGGUCACAUGAACUUUACUGUAGAUCAGGAAGUUAUCUAACAGCUGCCAAAACUCUUUCUGACUCCAAAUGUUGACUGUUUCUCACACCUCACCAUUGGGUAUGGAGUCUGCUGCCUUGGGGGUUAUUCAGAUUUCCCAUUCCUUCUCAGACUCCAUCUACCCCCACCUGCCUGGUUGCAUUUGGAGAUGAUUUCCUUUUUUCCAUUCAUGAGACCAUGUGGCUUCCAUACUUACCUAGGCUGGCAGUUUCUCCACUCACCCUGCAAAUCUCUUGAGGAGGAAAAGCCCGGUUGAGGAAGGGUCAGAAAAAGGAAGCCAAGCCUGGAAGUGCAAGCAUACAUUAUCAUAUUCUUCUCAGGGUGCCUUUAGUUCAUUCCAGAAAAAAAGUGCAGCACAAUAAGUAAUUUUAAUGGGCGACCUCCCUUUCUUCCACUAAUUCCCAGUCCUGAGCAAGGUUCAUGAGCAAGAACCUAGUCUUCUGUGGCCUUGAAUGCCCCAAAGGGUCUGGUGGCGAUAUUGAGCACACAGUGGGAGCUGAGACAAUAGAUCCUGGUUGACAAAACGGACGCUUCAAAGGAAAAGGGGCAAUUAUUUGAGAGCAAACGUAAGCAAACGCGCGCACACACACACACGUGCGUGUAUUCCGUGCCUUUUCAAUUAAUUCCAGGCUCAUAUAUGAGACUACCUCGAGGAUCUGCUCCCAUUUCUCAGCCCAGCGUCCCAACACAAGCUGAUUCCUCCUGGAUAACAAGCACCUUGGCGUCGAGGGAGGCCGCUCCAGCUGACAUUUGCAGACAUGCGUUACUUCUGCCUCGUAGUGCUCCUUUCUUCACCCUCGACGGUCCAGAGCUGAGCUCACAAGACUGAGGCAGGCCCAGUCCAGAUGACCAGGAGCAGAGACCUUCCUGGGCCAAAGCACAGAAAGGUCAUCUCAGCGAAUUUACUCGGGGUAAAGGGGCCACUUGGGCCGUGUCCGAGUACCUGCGAUCAUGGGUGGGACCAGGAUGCUGAAGCUGUGCUCUUGUGCCCCCCCCCCCGCCCCACCCUUCUCGAAUCUCUGGGUCAGCGGGGUGUAGAUGUUGACAUGCUUGAGCCCUGGGGCCUGACUACGGCUACUUAGAGGGGCCCUACUGUCACCCACCCAAGCGUAGUCAUAGACCACGGUCAUCGCCGUGCUCCGUUGGCGCUAAUCUCCUCGGCUAUUUGUGAUGAUCUGUAAGCGCAGAAACCAGCCGCGUGGUGCGCACCCCGGAAGCGCUUGCCGAGACCCGGAAGCAGCGGGGCCUCGCCCGCCGCUCCUCUGGCUCGAGAGCUCUCCACGACCCGCCCACCUUGGAGGUACCCCAGUUCGGGAAGCAUCGCUCGCGCGAGAGCGGGCCCGGGUUCGCGCCACGAUCGUGCCCCGUGGUAGAGUUUCCGGUCUAUGGGUCUGUCGCUUACGGCGGGCCCAGGCCUCCCCGUUCCCCGAGUGGAUUUAGGUCCCCCGUUAAGGUACCCGUUGUGUCCGGCCGUGGGUCGAGGGAGGCACAGAGAAGGAGGAAUUUACAAUCAGCCCGUGAGUGACUGAUCAGCUCCCCAGAGAUCGGAAUGUAAAUUUACUAGGGAUCUUCGGUUGUGAUUCACAAUUCUGCAAGUAAUAAAAUGCCCACCCCUCCAAUUUCCCGCCCUGUUGGCCUCUCCCCAGCGAGCCACCGUGGGCGCGAACCCGGGGAGUGCGGGAGGCCCCCGGCGCACCCCGCAGCUCGCGGAGGAGCCGGGCUCGCGGGCGCCGGGCGGGCCCCGUGACCCGCCGUCGUAAGAAUGCUUCAGAUCCAACCUGGGCUCGUUUCCGUGACGCAGGAAACAUCUGGGGAGUUUGCGCCGGGCGUUUGGGAAAGUACUUACUUCCGAACUUGGCGCGAAGGUGUUCUAGGAUACAGACAAACGCGGGCCUGAACGGGGGAUGGGGCCCGGGACGGGUUGGCAACCCGGGCGGCAGUCGGGGUGCACACGGGGGAGCUAACUGGUGGCGAGCACUUGGGUGAAGGACGAAUUAAACACUUAGAGCCGGGUCCGCUCGUUUGGGCCUCAUUGUUUUAAUGUCUGUAGUACUUAGGCACAGUUUGAGAAAGAAUAAUGUCUUUACUUUCAGAAAAAACAUCAAAGACCAGGGCCUGCUCAAUAUGGAGCACAUAUGGUAGUCUCCGAAGGCCUUGCCUGCCAAAACAUGUUUCUCAGUAUUUUUCGCCUUUCCUUUUUCGAUUCCACCCCCCCCCCCCACAUCCUUUUUUUUUUUUUUUCUCCCCAAAUGGGAGGGAGCCACGGGCUCGGGUUACUUGGGACGUCUAGCGUUCACAGGAGCAGUUGGCCGCUGCCCGAGGCGAUCAAUGAGGCCUUUCAGGAACUGAAUGUAGCCCAGGACGGGAACCUUGAAGAUGGGCCGGCUGAAGAAGCCAGGCUGGGGAGGCCGUGACUUGCCCAGGACCCAGAGCCAGCUGUAGCAGAGUGAUGCAUUGUCAGAUUCAGAGGCUAUAGGUCACUUUUGGCAUUAUACCUGAAAAGCACGUUUUCCUGUUACUGCUUCCUUAAUUGGUCAGGUUACACUGGUUGAAUCCCCAGGCCUUAGUACAUGGGGCACUUAAAUAUUUACCGAAUGAAUAUUGAAUGAACUAAGUGAAGACAGUAGCCUGCAAACCACUCUCAGACCCUAGCCUAGACAAGACUUAGGUGCAAAGUUUCUCUGCAUUAACUGCUACUAUUAUUGUGUAGACCACUAUCCCUGGUUUUAAAAUUAUUUAGCAGAGAGAGGCAGGGGGCAGUGGCUAAAAGUUGGGGCAGUUUGCUUCGGGAACUUCUCCAGAUGACAUCUCAGAAUGUCAGCGUUCAUUAAAAUGAUCUAACUCAACUUCUGAAUUUCUCUGAAGAUGAACGGAGACCCAGAAAGGUAAAGUUAUUUGCUCAGGGCACACAGCUGGGAUGGAACAGGGGAAGUGCCCUCUUUCCCAUGCCUAGUGCCCACGGGGCUCACUACCCCCACAUUACCCUCAGUGGAAGGACAAGCUGGAUAAUUUCCUCUUUUAGCCUCUCCCAUUAAAUGGAUCCCUAUCAUCACCUCUGAAAAAUGAUAUUCUCCUUCAGCGAAUUUACAUGUAGCGUUAAUAUUAAAAGGAGGGGUAAAUUCUUAGAGCCCCCAUUUAAAAGAAGAAGCAUGCUGUCGCCAGAACUUGCAGCUUUUUCUAAUACAGUAUUAAUGAUGGUGGGGGAAGGAAACACACUACACAUGGACCUGAUUACACAUGAAUCUUAUCACAUCAUCCGGUGUUCUGAUGACUUACAUGACUCAUACAGAGACCAGUAGGCAAAUUACCUGACAUGUAGUUCGAAAAUCUGUACUUUGGACCUGGCUUUGUCAUCAACCUGCUGCAUAUCUUGACCGAUUUCGCUGGAUCUAUUUCUCUCCCUCAUGUAUAUACAACGUACACACACACACACACACACACACACACACAUGCAUAUAUAUGUGUAUAUGUACACACAUGUGUGUAUUAUGUGUAGACAAUAUAUAACAAUAUACACACAUCUAUUGAUUUUUAAUCUAGGUGGUCUGUUCAUAAAUCCAAUUUCUGUUCUUACAUUCUCUGAUGCUAUCAUGUGUCAACAUACAGUGAACCCCUUACCCGUACCAGAUGGAAAAGCAACAGAGGAUAGAACGCUGUUUAUUCUUGUGUCAGGACUGAGUGAAUGCUAACCUUGCAGAAUGCUUUAGAGAUGCGCCUGCCCCUUCCUUCAUCCUGGAGCCCAGAGUGCUGAUUUCCCCAGAUUGCACAGCUGGAGAGCCCGGGGUAGCUUCUUAGUCGGGGCGCCUUACUCCCUGAAGAGAGUUAACUUCAAAUAUGGGGGUCCACCAGUUUCCAUGACCGGUUUAGCUGAGUAUGGAUCAACUCUCUAGGAUACUUCCUUCUACCACUCCAUCAUCCACAUUCCUCACCCCACGUUCUCAUUCAAACCAAGAAUAAUUUAGCCAAAAUAUAAUAGUCUUGGGUUCAGAAGGGCAAAUUUAAAGCAAAACUGGAAGUCAGUAUGAUUUUACUUGGGCAGUGCUCCUUUAAAUAUAUCAGCUCUGUUGCAUGGGACUUUGAGCCUUCAAGGGCCAUUGGGACAAGGUGAUGGUUCCUCUAAUGAGAAGUAUAGCAGCUAGUCUUACUUGUGUUUAGAGUUUGAAUCCAACAUAAGACAAAAACUCGAGUCAACUUUAAUAACGAGGCAAAAUAAUAAUUAGAGUAAAGCCAGUGUUCAGAAUUCUAUGCAACCGAUCCUUUCCUGUCACACAACAAACUCCCAAAUUAUCAAUGUUGGGUGUGCGUGGAGAGGCUAACAAAUUACCCACCAUUAAGUAUAAGACAAAGCUGCUCUCGCUUGCUUUCGGGGAGCACCUUCUCAAUGUGAGACAAUGACUUGGGCAACUGUCUGCCACACUGAAAAUGAAGUCUAGGGCACUUUCUCCCUCCUGCCUGCCUGGCCCUGGUUGACCUGGACUAGGCUGAUGCUGCCUAGUUGGAAUCCAAAGUGUCUCAAGGAACAGUUGUGAUCUGUUUUCCCUGGGUGUGGAGAGGAACAGGCAGUUUUCAAGGCACUGAAACAGCCUUUUCUUCUAUCACCUUCAUGCUGGGGGGACCUUGAUGACUUAGGGGCUAAAAGAACCCCACAGGGCACCAUGUUUGAGGAAUCUCCCUUUGCAAAGGCUUAAGCAGGUGGGAAUAGGCUGUUCAACCCAGACAGCCAAUCCAGGAUGUUGUCCUAGGCAUGCAGAGAAAGGAUGGAACUGAAAAUUCCGCCAACUGGAGGUAGAUCUGUUGCCUCUUGUGUAUAGUAGAAAGUGGUCUCCUGCCAUUCCUCUUAAACAUCAGCCUCAGGAUCCUCUUUCGGACCUUUCCGUAUAUGAAAGCCACUCCCUAAGCACUACUUAAUCGUCAUACUUCCUUCGGUUGUUAUGAGGAUUAAAUGAGAAAAUCUGCUGAAAGUGCUUUUCACAGUGCCAGAUACAUAGCAAGUACUCAGUGCAUGGUCGCAAUUAUUAUUAACCGUUCUAUGAUUUCCUUUGAGGUUAAUGACAUAUUUCUCUACAAUUCAGACCUUUUCUUGGAACACUAGACCUGAAUAGCCAGCUCCCUACUGGAGGUCACUCACGUGCAGGUGGACCUAGAUUCGUAGAACCCACUCUGCUCAAAACAGAUUGGAUUUCUAGUCCCUGUUGUACACUACGAGUGGCUCUACCACCAAUGAGGCCAGCCCUUGGCUAUUACCAGUUCCUCCUAAAUAUCUCUCAGAUCCACCCGCAACAACCUCCUGCCUUAGUAAUGACAAAUAUUAAAUUUUGUCUGCAUCAUUACAUCAUUUCUCCUCUGCCAGGGCAUUCUCCAGUCUGUCCUCACAGCAGCUGGAGUGAUCUUUAUGUAAUGCAAUUUGAUCGUGUCGUUUCCCUACUUUAAAUCUUUUCUUCAUUCCCUAGAGACAUCAGGAAAAUCCAAAUGCCGAGUAUAGGGCGCUCUUUAUCCUCUCCUUUCUUCCCCCCCCCCGCCCCCCGCCCCCACUUUCCCAUCACACAUGCUAAGCCCUAGCUCUCUUGAACUACACCGAGUUUCUUUUGCCUUUGUGUCUUUGCACACAUUGUCUUUCUGGCUGGUACACAGCUCCCUCCUUCAUUAGAUUCCUGCAGCUUGUCCUUCAAGAUUCCGCCUGGCUGUUCUCUUCUUGGAAGCCUUCACCAAGCCUCAGGCUGAUUACAGAGUUUUUAUCCUACAAGAUUGCAAUUUCUCUUCUCCACUAGGUGUGAAUUCCUUGAGGGCAGUGGAAUAAAUCUUGAAUCUUUGUGGCCAUAAGAACACAGUAGGUGUUUGCCACAUAUUUGCCGAAUAUAGGAAGGGCCCAGAAUUAGAAUAAAUGACUGGUUCUAUAGCCUCAUAUCAUCAUCAAAUUUUGGGGAAAGUUAUCUUUCGGAGCCUCAGUUUUCUUGUCCGUAAGGUGAGGACUAACGGUACCCCCUAAUAUUGUCAAGAUUCAAUGAAAAGUGAAUGCAAGUCUUCUGUAAACUGUGUAGCACUGUACCUGAGGCAUUGUUAUAGUAAGUACAGACCCACACUUCCCAUACAUGUACACAUUUUCAUACAUGCACUUAAUAUGUACCUAUUAUAUGCAUCCAUGUGUCUGUGUUUGUGCACCUGCAUGGUUACGUGGAAAAGCAGUUUCCCGACAUACCUUUCUCUAGAUCCCACCCUUUAAAUUCAUGAUGAAUAAUAGGUAGAUCAAUACUUUUGGUAACUAGUCUAGGUUCUAGAUAAAACAUUUUGUAGCAGUAUCCUCGAAAUAGCAGUCAUUCUGUGAUUUCGUUAUAUCCAAACACACAAAUACAAACUUAGUGCAUAUUUAUAGAGCACUGAAUGGGUAAUAACAGCCAAUUACUAUUUUCACUAUGACUAUUAUUGUACCUUCCUACUAAAAUAACACUGAAGCACUUUCCCUCCAAAGGGAAAGGUUUUCUUUUCCUUUUCUUUUUUCUUUCCUUCUUUCUUUCUUUUUCUUUCUUUCUUUCUUUCUUUUUCUUUUUUUCUCUUCCUUCCUUCCUUCCUUCUUCCUUUUUCUUUUUUACAUGGGUCACUUGGAGCAGUUAUUGAAGGCAUUGUUUCCCCCAUUUUGCAUGUGAACAAACCGAGGCACAGAUUUGUUUCACAAAAUGCCUCCUUUCCAAUGUUGCAACCGAGUGGAGAUCAGAACCCGAGGAUGCCCUCUCUCCCGUCUUCUUUCUUUUUCCACGGGCCAGUGUAGGAAGUUUGCACAGAGUGAUUGAUACAAACGAGCCAGAGCUGACCAAUGUGUAAACUGAUCGGUGCUUAUGUGUAACGCUUUGAAUUGCCACAAUUAUUUCCGCACAUUGGGCCUGCCUUAAAUGUGGAAUCCGCUAUUCCAACAUCAGUUCCCGGUUUUUUUUUUUGUUUUUUUUUUUUUAGUUCCCGGCAGGGUAAUUGCCUCUCCUUCCGUAGCGCGCAGUUGCCAGCUGCCCGGCUGCCCUGGGAGCUUUGAAGUGGAAGGCGCACCACGGCUUUUCUAAACGCCGCUCAUGCGCGCGCUGGAAAGGAGGGCGCUGGGUCAUCCUCAACCUCAUCCACCUCCCGAUCCCGUUCUUCUUUAAAAAGCCAGGUGGCGCCAACUCUCAACCCCUGCUAGAGCUGGAGGAUCUUCCUGCCGCGCGCAGGGGGGGAGGAGAGUUGGAAGAAGGGCACCACCUCAGGCCCGCUCUUUCGCUCUGCUCCCUCCGCUCUGCGCCCUCGGCUCUGCGGAAAGGGACACGUGCUUUUCUCUUCUUCCGCACCCCUCGCAGGAUGACGGCAAGCCUAAAGGGAAACGAGGUGUCCUGUGUGCCACAUGGAGCUCGGGGAACGGAAAUAAUUAAAGCCAUGAGGUUUCCUGGCUCUACGCGGUGUUUACGGUGGGUUUUGAUUUGGGGAAGGAGAGCGAGGAGAGGUUAAGGCCGGUUCCAAUCUGCCAGCAUCCUGUAUCGGUCUGUGCAGCAGAUGACGCGUGCGUCCGGGAGGGCUCGCGCCCCUCGGUGUGCGCGUAGCGGGGGGUGCAAGAUCGUGUCUCUGGGUGUCGUGUGGGGUGGCCUACCUACUCCAAAGUAACAGAGUAGGUGCAUGUUAAUUUUUUAAAAAGUCGAAAUCCUCCCAGCUGGGAAAGGAGGGCUCUAAGAUUCCCUCGUAUGACAGCGGAGGGUCUGAAGCUAUUAAGGAAGGCACCCGUUUUAGUUUUCAAACCCCAUUUUUAUUCUUGCAAUGUUUCCAGUCUUUGAACUACUGUCGUUUAACAGGAAGAAGGAAGAGACUCCAUUAUACAAGCAUAUCGACUUGAUCUAAACCAAACAUCGCUGAACAAAAAUGUUGGUUGAAGCCUAGCAAGUAACUACUAAUCUGGUAACGAGAAUUUAGCCAUACGCAAGUGCUGCUGUUGCAAAUCAUCACCAAAUUCGAAGUUAAGAUGAACUCAAUAAAAGGUUUUUUUUUUUUUUUCCUCCUUUUCAAUUCGCAGGAAUACUAAAAGUAGAGUUGGUAUCAUGGCCUAUAGCAAUUUUAAGAUUUUAAUUGAAAUGACAGUAACAUACAUACAAACACACAGAACACUCAACAACAUUAGUAAUGAUGACAGUGUGCUAUUAAUGCUGCUUUUUAUAUGGUGCUGGUGGUGUUUAUUACAGUGUGCGCUUCAGAGCAGCGUUUCUCAUACUGCAGGUUGCCAACCAUUAGUGACUCAUGAAAUCAGCAGUGUGGGAUUUUGAUCAGUAUUUUUUUUUAAUUUUUUUUUAACGUUUAUUUAUUAUUGAGAGACAGAGAGAGCCUGAGCAAUGGAAGAGCCAAGAGACCGGAGACACAGAAUCCGAAGCAGGCUCCAGGCUCUGAGCUGUCAGUGCAGAGCCCAACGCGGGGCUCAAAGCCGCAAACCGAGAGAUCAUGACCUGAGCCAAAGUCAGACGCUUAACCGACUGAGCCACCCAGGCGCCCCUGGUCGGUACUGUUUUUUUUUUUUUUUUUUAAAGGAAAUGGGAAAGACUAAAAAAUAUCAGAAGCAUGUAAGAAUAAAUAUUCGCUCAUAAAUCUUUUUCCCCCCAUUUAUGUGUUGUAUGUAUGUAUUGGGUCACAAUGUAAAAUGUAUUUCUUAUCAUGGACUACAUUAAAAAGGAGCUUGAAAGCUGUGGUUUUAGAAAAAUCCUUGUUAUUCUAGGCAGGUUCCCAUCAGUACUAUGCUUUUUGACUGGGGGAGGCAAAGCUAAAGCCCCUGCUGCCCUCUGAUGCUCUACACUGAGCUAGAGUGGGUAUUUAUCACCCUUGCAGAUUCCACACUGAGCAUGACCCACAAUGCAAAUAAGAUUGGGAAGUGGGUGCUCAGUUUUUUUUUUUUUUUAAUUAAGACAAUUUUUUAAAAUUUUAUUUUAUAAGUAAUCUCUAAGCCCAACCGGUCUGGGACAACCGGCAGAUCAAGAGUCACAUGCUCUACUGACUAAGCCAGCGAGGCACCCCAGAUUGCUAUAGAGCACACCUCUGGACCUCCGCCGUCCCCAGAUAGCAGUUUCUACACAGCUAACUUAGAACAGACCAGAGCUAGCGCUUUGGGACACUGGAUGCCUCUCAUGCCCCAAGCGAACAUACGGGACAGUCGCAUCCUCGCGUUCUGCCAGGGGCGUCUCUAAUUCCCAGGAGGCUGAAUGCUUGCAGUGCCGGACAUGGCCUACCCACCAAGCCGCACAAGCACGCCCGUCGGCUCCCAGCUUGGGCUGUGGUUGCUGAGACACAGCCCUGCCCUCAGUAGGCCCUUUGAAGAGAUGCUUAUUCAAGUCCUUCAGCUUCGGGGUUGAUGUGUCGCUCACCCUCAGAGGCCCCACUUUGGCUGACAUUCAGCCUACCUCUGAGAACGACCCCUAAAAUAGGCUCUGCCACUAACCAGAAGCAAGGCCGUUUCUAUGGUGAAAGAACCAUCGCCUCACGGAAAAUUGCCUUUGCAAUUUUGCAAAAUUGCAUUUUGCAUUGAUAAUAACUACCAAUGAGAGUUUAAGAUUUUUUUCAGAAGCCCAAAUGUGUGGUGCGUGUGAUGUGUGAAGGCGGAGGAAGUGAUGAGGAUUAACACCCUGCUUCUAAUUCUGGCCGACUCAGAGGCCCUGUGUGGAAAAUCAGAAGUGACAGGAAUCCUGGAAGAGGGCCACCUGGCCAUCAGAAAAUUCCAGAGGGAUGUGGUCACUGCCCGACACACACUUGUUCAGAAAUGGAGCUAUGUAGAGGGUUAUGGAAGUGAAUGUCGUAUUGCAAUGAAUGAUGAAAUGCAAUCCCAGCAGCACCCACUGUACGAAGAAUCCAAGCACUGACAGGAGGUAUGAUGGCCGCUAGACCUACCAUGAACUAACUGUGCCACACGUUGAAAUUGAAACGUGGGUCCCUCGGAGUAACUCCUUUGAGUAACUCCUUUGUUUCUUUUUUCCAAAAGGUCAGAAGACACAAGUGAAAAAAUACCAGCAACCGAACAUGGUGGUAUCAAGCCUAAUUAGGAAUAAAAAAAAACACAUUUCUAAAA
Molecule: long non-coding RNA, 11667 nt
Organism: Leopardus geoffroyi (Geoffroy's cat)
Lineage: Eukaryota; Metazoa; Chordata; Mammalia; Carnivora; Felidae
Exons: 6
Source: RefSeq, a predicted model, not a curated record